UCAGGAAAUAGGGAGGACCGAGAGAAGGAGGAGAGAUGGGGAACAGCUCAUUGGUGGAGCAGUCAGAACACACACAACAUUGGUCGAUUAAGUUUCUCAUCUUCUAUGGGUGCAGUUCCUGGUACCCCCAAAACAAUUACACAGAACAGGGACCCAAAAGGGGGAAACAUACCUGGACCCACAGACUGCGUGAGAGAAAGCAGUCGGUGAUUUAUGAAGAGAUCAGCGACCCUGAGGAAGAUGACGAGUAACUCUCCUCAGGGAUAUGACACACGCCCAUGAUGAGAAGCAGAACGUGGUGACCUUUCAUGAUCAUGGGCAUGGCUGCGGACCCCUCGUCAUCAGGUGUAUAGGAAGUGAAAGCAAGUGUUUACAACAGUGAAAAGUUGAGCGUCAUUUUUCUUAGUGUGCCAAGACUUCGAUGUUAGCGUUUCCGUUGUAUUUUCUUGCAUUGUGCCAUUCUGUUAGAUAUUAGCAUUUUCAUUGAUGAGCAAGAUAUACUUAAUGCGUUUUUCCGUUUGUGUAUCCAUGCACCCACCUCAGAAAACAAGUAUAGUCAGGUAUUCUCUCCAUAGAACAGAACUACCCUCCUUUCUCCUCAGAUGUGACUACUGAAGUCAGGUCUGAGUGUUUAAUUUCCGAUUUUCUCCUCUGCAUUUACACCACACACACACACACACACACACGCACGCACGCACACACACCAAGUACCACUAUAAGCAUCUCCCAUCUGCUUUUCUCCAUUGCCAUGCAUCCUGCUCAAGCCCCCUUCACUCGGUUUCCUGUUCAGCAUGUACUCCCCUCAUCCAAUUCCCCUCUAUCAGUCAUUGACAAUUAAUAAACAUUUGCAAACGUUC
Long non-coding RNA from Piliocolobus tephrosceles (Ugandan red Colobus), 857 nucleotides. RefSeq lists it as uncharacterized. The record is from RefSeq and is a predicted model, not a curated record. Lineage: Eukaryota; Metazoa; Chordata; Mammalia; Primates; Cercopithecidae. The transcript has 3 exons.